Molecule: long non-coding RNA, 520 nt
Organism: Mauremys reevesii (Reeves's turtle)
Lineage: Eukaryota; Metazoa; Chordata; Testudines; Geoemydidae
Exons: 4
Source: RefSeq, a predicted model, not a curated record
GGGGGGCACGGCCGGGCUUUGAGAGAGCGCUACCUGCACGGCCCCCUCGACGCUGGGGAGAGCCGCCGCCCCCCCCCCCCGGCUGGGGGCCAGGAGAGCCCCUCCCCCCAAGUCCUGGUACUGUACAGACCUGUAACAGACAUCAUCCCUGACAGCGAAUUACCAAUACUCCAGUUUCACUCUGAUUUUCGUUUUUAAUAUUAAAUCCACUUAAGCUAUUAACAGAUUCAAGCAAGAAAACAAUGAAGAAACUAAAAGCACCUACGUGCGAAGAUAAAGUCAGAAGACAGGCACCUCUCCUGUGCUUUGCAGAGCCAGCUGAAUCCCUAUCUGAGGCAGGGCAGCAGAGCAAGAAUGUCUUAGGGACCGUCAAACAGACUGCAUCCUAUAAAAGAGCUCCGUAGCAUAGCGGUGGACUCCAGAUCGGGCAGCAACACCAUGUCAGACCUGGUUGCUGGACCUUGGGUUUGAGAUAAACAGAAGGGAAUGCUAACUGAGAGGCAACUUCUUUGGUCAAUUU